AAGGACUGGUGGAGUGCUUAGAAGUGAGAAUGCCGGUAUGAGUAGCGAAAGACGGGUGAGAAUCCCGUCCACCGAAUGCCUAAGGUUUCCUGAGGAAGGCUCGUCCGCUCAGGGUUAGUCAGGACCUAAGCCGAGGCCGACAGGCGUAGGCGAUGGACAACAGGUUGAUAUUCCUGUACCACCUCUUUAUCGUUUGAGCAAUGGAGGGACGCAGAAGGAUAGAAGAAGCGUGCGAUUGGUUGUGCACGUCCAAGCAGUUAGGCUGAUAAGUAGGCAAAUCCGCUUAUCAUAAAGGCUGAGCUGUGAUGGGGAAGCUCCUUAUGGAGCGAAGUCUUUGAUUCCCCGCUGCCAAGAAAAGCUUCUAGCGAGAUAAAAGGUGCCUGUACCGCAAACCGACACAGGUAGGCGAGGAGAGAAUCCUAAGGUGUGCGAGAGAACUCUGGUUAAGGAACUCGGCAAAAUGACCCCGUAACUUCGGGAGAAGGGGUGCUUUCUUAACGGAAAGCCGCAGUGAAUAGGCCCAAGCGACUGUUUAGCAAAAACACAGCUCUCUGCGAAGCCGUAAGGCGAAGUAUAGGGGGUGACACCUGCCCGGUGCUGGAAGGUUAAGGAGAGGGGUUAGCGUAAGCGAAGCUCUGAACUGAAGCCCCAGUAAACGGCGGCCGUAACUAUAACGGUCCUAAGGUAGCGAAAUUCCUUGUCGGGUAAGUUCCGACCCGCACGAAAGGUGUAACGAUUUGGGCACUGUCUCAACCAGAGACUCGGUGAAAUUAUAGUACCUGUGAAGAUGCAGGUUACCCGCGACAGGACGGAAAGACCCCGUGGAGCUUUACUGUAGCCUGAUAUUGAAUUUUGGUACAGUUUGUACAGGAUAGGCGGGAGCCAUUGAAACCGGAGCGCUAGCUUCGGUGGAGGCGCUGGUGGGAUACCGCCCUGACUGUAUUGAAAUUCUAACCUACGGGUCUUAUCGACCCGGGAGACAGUGUCAGGUGGGCAGUUUGACUGGGGCGGUCGCCUCCUAAAGUGUAACGGAGGCGCCCAAAGGUUCCCUCAGAAUGGUUGGAAAUCAUUCGUAGAGUGCAAAGGCAUAAGGGAGCUUGACUGCGAGACCUACAAGUCGAGCAGGGACGAAAGUCGGGCUUAGUGAUCCGGUGGUUCCGCAUGGAAGGGCCAUCGCUCAACGGAUAAAAGCUACCCCGGGGAUAACAGGCUUAUCUCCCCCAAGAGUCCACAUCGACGGGGAGGUUUGGCACCUCGAUGUCGGCUCAUCGCAUCCUGGGGCUGUAGUCGGUCCCAAGGGUUGGGCUGUUCGCCCAUUAAAGCGGUACGCGAGCUGGGUUCAGAACGUCGUGAGACAGUUCGGUCCCUAUCCGUCGUGGGCGUAGGAAAUUUGAGAGGAGCUGUCCUUAGUACGAGAGGACCGGGAUGGACGCACCGCUGGUGUACCAGUUGUUCUGCCAAGGGCAUAGCUGGGUAGCUAUGUGCGGAAGGGAUAAGUGCUGAAAGCAUCUAAGCAUGAAGCCCCCCUCAAGAUGAGAUUUCCCAUAGCGUAAGCUAGUAAGAUCCCUGAAAGAUGAUCAGGUUGAUAGGUUCGAGGUGGAAGCAUGGUGACAUGUGGAGCUGACGAAUACUAAUAGAUCGAGGACUUAACCAUAUAA
Molecule: ribosomal RNA, 1658 nt
Filed under: Bacillus thuringiensis
Lineage: Bacteria; Bacillati; Bacillota; Bacilli; Caryophanales; Bacillaceae
Also listed under: 1 other name
Description: partial 23S ribosomal RNA
Rfam family: Bacterial large subunit ribosomal RNA
Source: RNAcentral